RNAcentral lists this long non-coding RNA (703 nucleotides) under Cricetulus griseus (Chinese hamster). Its description in RNAcentral is "lncRNA (ENSCGRG00015031654.1)". Lineage: Eukaryota; Metazoa; Chordata; Mammalia; Rodentia; Cricetidae. The record is from RNAcentral.
AAAGAAAAUUGGGAAUCAAUCCACCUCAUGACCCAGCUAUAUCACUCAUGGGAAUAUGCCCAAAGGAUUCCACACCCUAGACCAGAGACAUUGCUGAUCCUAAUCUAUAGACAUUAUUCAUGGGUGCUCUAUUCAUAAUAGCAAGAAAUUGGAAACAUCCUAGAUGUCCAUCUGUGGUUGUUUAAAAGAAAAUGACCACCAAAAGAAAUGACACUAUUAAAAGUUGUGGUUUUGUUGGGGUAGGUGUGGCCUUGCUGGAGGAAGUGUCUCACUGUGGGGGUGGGCUCUGAGGUCUCAUAUAUGUUCAACACACCCAGUUUCUCAGAUCACUUCCUGUUGCUUGCAAGAUAAGAUGUAAGACCCUCAUUCACUUCUCCAGCACCAUAUCUGCCAGCAUGUUGCCAUGCUUCCUGCCAUGAUGAUAAUGGACUAAACCUCUGAAACUGUGAAGGGUGACAGCUACCCACUUGCUAUGCUUGGUAUGUGUCAAUACAAUAAUGAAGAAGGCAUUGAUUACCCCCUCUCAUGAAUCUUUCACCUUCCAAUAUGAACAGAAGAUCAAUGGCUCUCCAUGCCAGAUUGGGAUGGUUGAAGCAUCCAGUAUCAUGGACUGUCUCUCCAGGCUGAAGAUAACCAUUGUUUGUUUACCAACCUCAUAUUAUGUAAUCCAACACAAUAAAUCCAUUUUAAAUUAAAAGUUAAA